GGUGGUGCAUGGCUGUCGUCAGCUCGUGUCGUGAGAUGUUGGGUUAAGUCCCGCAACGAGCGCAACCCUUGUCCUGUGUUGCCAGCAUGCCCUUCGGGGUGAUGGGGACUCACAGGAGACCGCCGGGGUCAACUCGGAGGAAGGUGGGGACGACGUCAAGUCAUCAUGCCCCUUAUGUCUUGGGCUGCACACGUGCUACAAUGGCAGGUACAAUGAGCUGCGAAACCGUGAGGUGGACCGAAUCUCAAAAAGCCUGUCUCAUUUCGGAUUGGGGUCUGCAACUCGACCCCAUGAAGUCGGAGUUGCUAGUAAUCGCAAAUCAGCAUUGCUGCGGUGAAUACGUUCCCGGGCCUUGUAC
RNAcentral lists this ribosomal RNA (358 nucleotides) under uncultured Streptomyces sp. RNAcentral's name for it is "bacterial SSU rRNA". It matches the Rfam family "Bacterial small subunit ribosomal RNA", at positions 1037 to 1386 of the family's 1533-position model. The record is from RNAcentral. Lineage: Bacteria; Bacillati; Actinomycetota; Actinomycetes; Kitasatosporales; Streptomycetaceae.